This is a non-coding RNA of Oryzias latipes (Japanese medaka), 761 nucleotides long. NCBI's taxonomy places the organism in Eukaryota, Metazoa, Chordata, Actinopteri, Beloniformes, Adrianichthyidae. The record is from RefSeq and is a predicted model, not a curated record.
UUAGACUCUAAUUCGACCUGGCAUCGGGAACAUUUCUGUUGUUGGAAGCUAGAAUGCUCUCUUUCUGAAAUACUCGGACAUUUCCAGAGUUAAAGUCGACGAUCGGCCUCCUUAUCUACAGUUGAAAGCCCAUCUGUUGCGUCACUUGCAGAUAAGAUCUGCAAACACAUCUAAUGCGCUCUGAAAAAAGAAAAAAGCUUUUGGACAGGACCUUACAUGUCACUGACUGUUUAUACAGCCAAGUGGGUUUUAUUGGGCCAUAAAGUAGCUCUAAACAGCAGCACCCAGUUCACCAGUUCUUGGUUUUCAAAGCAAAGCAGACAACAAUUCAACGCCGGGGUCUUAUCAUCGCCAUCACCGUGCAGGGAGGGAAACAAGGAGUCCAAGGUGUGACUUCCAAUGAGCCCGGCCGCCACAGUAGAAGUUCAUACACUUCCUGUCCCAGUAAAAAAGCAGCAAAGCAGCAGAAAAGGAAAAGUCCAACAUGAUGACUCAGGUAUGCAGACAGUUCAUUAGCAAAUUACAUAUGCAUUAUUAAUGUACAUAUCAGAUGAGGGCCUAAAACCAAACACCUCCAGCGAUAAUUAAAUCCCGUACAAUAAAGGAAAGUUACUGUAAUUAAGUAAGUUGUCUUUCUGCUGCCUCCUCCUAAUCCUCUCCUCUGCAUUCAUUCCUCUUUGGACAGGCUUAUUGUCAGACUAGUUAGUAUUCAGAGAUUAUUUAACUUAAUGUUAGUUUGUUUAAAUUAAACUUAAUAACUA